This 31-nucleotide non-coding RNA is filed under the name Mus musculus (house mouse). The record is from RNAcentral. Lineage: Eukaryota; Metazoa; Chordata; Mammalia; Rodentia; Muridae.
UUUAUAAUUGUCAGAUAAAGCCUCUUCAUCA